Long non-coding RNA from Wyeomyia smithii (pitcher-plant mosquito), 2583 nucleotides. RefSeq lists it as uncharacterized. The transcript has 2 exons. Lineage: Eukaryota; Metazoa; Arthropoda; Insecta; Diptera; Culicidae. The record is from RefSeq and is a predicted model, not a curated record.
UUAAGAGAUUUCAUCAUUGACUUCCUGAAAAAUGGUUAAUAAAAAGAAAUUACCGGUUCAACGUUGGCCACUUGAUCCGAGUUCCAAUGGUCUGUUCGUUGUUUGCCCGAUGAUACGAUUUAAUAAGUGCCAAUUUCUUCGGUGUGAUCUAUAGUUGUGAAUAUCUAUAUAAGUUUAAACUCAAGUGAAGUAUAGAAAAAUAACUUACCUAUCGGAAAGAUAAGGGAAUAUCCUUCCUAUCGUUCAAUAAGACGCCAUCUUUUCGUGGUGUAGCCAUUUUGAAUAACAAUCUGAAUUUUUUUUUUUAUUCUCGUUUAUUUUCCGUCGGUCUAGUUCCGCCACUGUUGUGGCCAAUCACCGACGCCCAGGGAGGCGACUCCACACCCAGGACCCUAACUCACGACCCGUUUAUUAACGGACCGGCGCCAACGGCUUUACUUCCUAAUGCGAUGGAAGGCGUGAUCCCAGAGAUUUUUCGCCUCAGAAAAUCUCCCGGAGUCGGCUAGGAUUGAAUCUAGACCAGUUGGGUUGGUUGUGAGUGGAUCACGCCACCUCACAACCAUCGACACCUAUGUCGGCGGUGGGAUUCGAACCCAGGCGUCGAGCGUGGUUGACGGAGACGUUACCAACCACACUAGGCCCCCGCUCUAACAAUCUGGAUUAUUCGAUACCAAAUCCAAACGUCAAAACAAAACUUAACAAGUAUACUAACAAGAAGCCUUAGGUCACGGCGACGUGUGUUUUUUAUUGGAUUUAUCGAUAAGAUUUAUAUUGCUCAUUUCAUUGAAGCUUGGGCUUUCGAUACACUUCUAGGAUCACACUUUUUAUGAGUAAGAAUGGUUGCCAGGAUUUGACGGUAUAAAAAAUGUUACUUGACUAUCAAUGAUUUAUUUUUCAAUAAUUCGAUUGUAUACUUUCAUGCUCACAGAUGUUAAUGAUCAACACAAGUAUUGAUAUAGACAAUAUUAUAACUUAAUAAGUAGCCAAAGCUCGCCUUAAUUUACAAAUGCGGGCAGUUUGAGGUUAAAAUAUAACACUUGAAAAAUUACAUUGUAAUGUACCGCUCCUCUGGCACCACUGCCAACUGCAAUGUCGAGCCCAGCGCUAGCUCAUCCGAUCGAUAGAUAAAAACUUACAAAAACAGAACGAAAUGCAAACACUCUCGGUUCAGUGCGCGAUAGAUUCCAUUUCUGCUGCAUUUCAACCACUCUAUUACGCUUUUGAUUAUUCAGUGUGCGAAGUAAACGGUGCCCCCUACGUUUCAGCAAUCGAUUCCAGAUAAACAGCACCAUGGGAGACAGUGAAAAAAAUGACUCGGCGGACGAUUCUAGAUGUAAGUUGAAGAGGAAAUGGAAAAGACGCGACUCGGUUACAGAGAUUAAAACGGAAAACUCACAAGACAUCGGUUACGACCCAGAUCUAGAUUCCGACAGUUUUUUCAUCGAAGCCCUAGAUGAAGAGAUCGGAGAUGCGGAAGAUCUUUUGUGCAAAUCUUUAGGCGUGGAUGACCGAGCCGAUGAUUAAUUGAAUGGAAGCAAUAGGGGUGAAUGCAGUAAGGAAUGGAAUCUGCUGCGUGCCACUUUUUUCAAGCGCAAGUUCGUUGGAGAAACUUCCGGAGGACAGUUUGCGUCAGAAGUGUUGCAUGGUAAUAUCUUGCGAGAAAUUUUGCAAGAAAUAUGGAAAGUUAUUAAACCUGUUAUCCGUCAGGAGGUCGUUUUUGAAGAAGAGAAUGGCCAUCUAGUUCCAACUUGGUCAAACACCGAACCGACAUUCGAAGACCUGGGGAAAUUUGUGUACCUUCAAAAUCAAGCGAACCGAAGACGUAUCGAUAUUGACAAAGUGGGCAGCAAGCAGCUAAUCAGCUGGUGUUCUAAGGACAAGGACAUUCGUGUGCAUGUUCACAUCUACUCGACAGCAGUUUCGUCUAAACAGCUGUGGGAGUUAGUUGAAAAGCAGUUGAUACGGCACCAGGACUGUGAUAUUGCAGGAGCCCCUAACAAUCAAUCCUUAACAGCUCUGGCGAAUCAGCUGCGGGACGUACAUGGUACGCACUUAACCGGACAUGCAAGUUCCUGGAAAAUCUAAGCUAACUACAUACAUUCUACUCCUGCACAUGAACGUGAACGUCGGAAAAAUGAAUUGCCCACUCAAUCAAUCAUCAAGUUUUUUCGCUCUGUCCCCAUUUCGGAAGCGAUUCAACUCGAAAGCACUCGGAUUGGCCUGACGGUUGCCUAAACGAUCAAUCAAGGAUAUUCAUCGGACUUCGCGAUUCUGGAAGAUGAGGUGAACGAAAUAAUAGCCUUGGGAGAACGCAUUAAGCACAGGCUUGGAGCGAUUCGAGCCAGGUGUUCCAUAAACUCCGGCAUUGUCACCGCAAUUCAGGAUUCUGUGCGGCCAGCAGAGGACAACAUAAGUCGGUUUCUAGCAGAGAAUGUGGCGGAUAUGAAUGAUGUAGAUCAUUUGUGAAGCUUUAAGACUGAUUUUAUUUCCAGUGAAAGAACCGCUGCUUUUCUUAUUGUAGUCAAUAUUUAUUUAUUAAAUCAAGGAGAAAAUUUAGAAUAUUAAAUUGGUGGAUAGACGUUA